AGCGAACGCUGGCGGCAGGCUUAACACAUGCAAGUCGAGCGGGCCCUUCGGGGUCUGCGGCAGACUGGAGAGUAACGCGUGGGAACGUGCCCUUCGGUUCGGAAUCCCUCAGGGAAGCUUGAGCUAAUACCGGAUACGCCCUUAUGGGGAAAGGCUUGCUGGCGAAGGAUCGGCCCGCGUAUGAUUAGCUAGUUGGUGAGGUUAUGGCCCACCAAGGGGACGUUCAGUAGCUGGUCUGAGAGGAUGACCAGCCACACUGGGACAGAGACACGUCGCAGAUCCUCAGGGGAGGAAGCAAGGCGGAAUAAUCGACGCCGGGUGAGAGACGAAGGCUGCCAGGCCGCGAGACUCAGGACGGCGUUAGGGUUGUAAGUCAGUGUGCACCGGGACGAUAGUGACGGAAACGGAGGAAUAAGCGCCGGCUAACUUCGUG
This 433-nucleotide ribosomal RNA is filed under the name uncultured bacterium. RNAcentral's name for it is "partial 16S ribosomal RNA". It matches the Rfam family "Bacterial small subunit ribosomal RNA", at positions 30 to 507 of the family's 1533-position model. The record is from RNAcentral.